GGAUGUUUGGUUGCACUGUUAAAAAGCCAAAAAGGACUUCUGGUUCACUUAAAGCGAUUUUGGGUUGUUUGGUUCUCUCCCAACGUGAUGACGAUGUCGUACGGUUCCCUGCUCAAAAUCAAUUCUAGGUGAAGCUGCUAUUCCUAGCUUCUGAAAAUCGAUUCUUCAACUGCAGGAAAAGGAACACAAGUAAAUGGCCAAAUAGUUGCAGUGUUUGGUACUCAAGGUAGCCAAAUCUCAUUGCAAAAUGAACUAUUGGAAUGAAGAAUCAAAUGAAGACGAUGAUUGUUGUAAUAUUUCAAAUUUGUAUUGCACUUAAUAUUAUAUUAUCCAUUUGUAAUUUUAAUGAGUACUUCAUGUUUAAUAUAUAUUCCCUACAUGUAUUUUUAUUUGAAUAUUGUGUGAUUAACAAUAAUAUUAAUCUAGUAAUUUUAUUGUCAA
Long non-coding RNA from Medicago truncatula (barrel medic), 441 nucleotides. RefSeq lists it as uncharacterized. The transcript has 3 exons. Lineage: Eukaryota; Viridiplantae; Streptophyta; Magnoliopsida; Fabales; Fabaceae. The record is from RefSeq and is a predicted model, not a curated record.